UAGUUCAGUGGUAGAGUGCUUGCCUAGUGUGCAUGAAGCCCUGGGUGCAAUUCCCAG
Molecule: transfer RNA, 57 nt
Filed under: Heterocephalus glaber (naked mole-rat)
Lineage: Eukaryota; Metazoa; Chordata; Mammalia; Rodentia; Bathyergidae
Rfam family: tRNA
About the family: Transfer RNA (tRNA) molecules are approximately 80 nucleotides in length.
Source: Rfam by way of RNAcentral